GCGAAGGUGGCGGAAUUGGUAGACGAGCAACCUUCAGGUGUUAGUGUUUUUACGGACGUUGGGGUUCAAGUCCCCACCCUAGCACCA
Molecule: transfer RNA, 87 nt
Filed under: Klebsiella pneumoniae
Lineage: Bacteria; Pseudomonadati; Pseudomonadota; Gammaproteobacteria; Enterobacterales; Enterobacteriaceae
Description: tRNA-Leu
Source: RNAcentral